Nomascus leucogenys (northern white-cheeked gibbon) is the source of this 736-nucleotide long non-coding RNA. RefSeq lists it as uncharacterized. The record is from RefSeq and is a predicted model, not a curated record. NCBI's taxonomy places the organism in Eukaryota, Metazoa, Chordata, Mammalia, Primates, Hylobatidae.
CUUGUCUCAAAAAAAAAAAAAAAAAAUGUACACUUACUGUGAGCACUACUACGUUCCAGGCCCUGGGGAUACCACAGAGUAUCAGAGUAGUCCUGCCUGCCUGCAGCUUGCUUCCCACAGGGAGAGGAUUGAGGAUAGAUUAUAAACAUAGAAGAUGAGAGGGACCAGAAGAGCAGGCUGUAACUUCAACCAGAGUGGCCAGGGAAGACCCGCACUGAAAAGGGGCAUCGAGCAGACAGAUAUAAAGAAGGCAAAGAAGCAGGCCACGCGGCUGGCUGGGGAAAGCAUAUUCCAGCUCUCCCCGAAGGUCCUCUGUGGAGGAGAAACAAAGCAAGGCGUGCAUGAGCGACAUGGGAGAUGAUAUGGCAAGAAUCAUCACUGGAGCUAUCCCAUGGGAUCCAGUGCUGCCUGAGUCCUGGAAACCACCUGAGGGAGGUCACAGCCCUUAUGCACCUACUGCUCACUCAGCCCCGUAGUGACUGUUCUUAACCCAUCUGUGGAUUGUGAAGUUUAUCUAGUUGUUUAUAACUAUUUUUUUUAGUGAAAUAGAAUAGAAAGCAUCAAAGUGCAUACGUGUAGCAAAGGUGAGUAUUAUUUUCUGAGACUUUUGUCUCAAGCAUGUGAUUCUGAAAUACGAUAUAUAUUAUUGUGGCUCAUAGUCAAGAAAGUUUUAUCACAUCCCUGUAGACCUCCAACCCCAGGAAAAUCAGGGCCUUUCUCUCCAGUCCCCUUCAGC